CCUACGGGUGGCAGCAGUGGGGAAUAUUGCACAAUGGGGGAAACCCUGAUGCAGCGACGCCGCGUGAGUGAAGAAGUAUUUCGGUACGUAAAGCUCUAUCAGCCGGGAAGAAAAUGACGGUACCUGACUAAGAAGCCCCGGCUAACUACGUGCCAGCAGCCGCGGGAAUACGUAGGGGGCAAGCGUUAUCCGGAUUUACUGGGUGUAAAGGGAGCGUAGACGGCAGCGCAAGUCUGGAGUGAAAUCCCAUGGCUUAACCAUGGAACUGCUUUGGAAACUGUGCAGCUAGAGUGCAGGAGAGGUAAGCGGAAUUCCUAGGGUAGCGGUGAAAGGCGUAGAGAUUAGGAGGAACACCAGUGGCGAAGGCGGCUUACUGGACUGUAACUGACGUUGAGGCUCGAAAGCGUGGGGAGCAAACAGGAUUAGAUACCCUAGUAGUC
This 440-nucleotide ribosomal RNA is filed under the name uncultured bacterium. RNAcentral's name for it is "partial 16S ribosomal RNA". It matches the Rfam family "Bacterial small subunit ribosomal RNA", at positions 338 to 795 of the family's 1533-position model. The record is from RNAcentral.